CAGGUGAACAAUUAAACGGCCGCGGUACCCUAACCGUGCAAAGGUAGCGUAAUCAUUUGUCUAUUAAUUGUAGACCAGUAUGAAAGGCAAAAUGAGGAUCUCUCUGUCUCUUAUAAUAAAUCAAUUAAACUGAUCUCCUAGUAAAAAAGCUAGAAUACCCACAUAAGACCAGAAGACCCUGUGAAGCUUAAACUAAACUAUUAAACCCUAUAAUACCUACUUUCGGUUGGGGCGACCUUGGAAAAAAAAAGAACUUCCAAAUACAUGACUACAACUCACACACUAGGCCCACAAGCCUAUAACCACGACCCAGUAUUACUGAUAAUUGAACCAAGUUACUCCAGGGAUAACAGCGCCAUCCUCUUCAAGAGUCCAUAUCAAAAAGAGGGCUUACGACCUCGAUGUUGGAUCAGGACAUCCUAAUGGUGCAGCCGCUAUUAAGGGUUCGUUUGUUCAACGAUUAACAGUCCUACGUGAU
Molecule: ribosomal RNA, 478 nt
Filed under: Tretanorhinus nigroluteus
Lineage: Eukaryota; Metazoa; Chordata; Lepidosauria; Squamata; Dipsadidae
Description: partial large subunit ribosomal RNA
Rfam family: Bacterial large subunit ribosomal RNA
Source: RNAcentral